GUCCGUGCCCAGGAUCUGAACUGGUGAAACCUGGGCCCCCAAAGCGGACCACAGGACCUUAACCACUACACCAUCAGGCCAGCCUCUAUAUGCUUUUUUUUAACAAAGCAGUGUAUGUAUGGGAAAGGGUUUACACAUCUAAUAGAUACUUCAAAGGUAACAUAAACAAGAACUUUUUGGUUAUACAUCAAACAAGGCUUGUAGUGUUGGUGUUAUCUGUGUGUGGAGGGAGGCAAGGACCAGGCUUGUUAAUUAUUCCCUCAGUCUCUAAGAAAUGCGGCUGGGGUGUGAGAGAGUGAGAUGCCCUUAUCUCUUCCUGCUGUGGAUCUGUCCAGCAGCGUCUUCAGUCAUGAGGUGUGGGGCUGCAGCUCUUUCUAACGCAGCCGUGGGAUGGCUGCUUCACAGCACAGCACGGAUUUUUGUACUCACUUCAAGUCUACGCAGCUCACUUGCUAGAUUCGCCUGUUAGACUGGGGAGAGGGGUCCCAACAGUUUGCUCACACCCCUCGCACGAGGCAGGCACUACUGUUGCCUCCAUCUUACAGAUGGGGAAGGCAGGGCUUGUGGGGAACAGGCAGCCUACCUAGACACACAGCUCCUAAGUGGUGGAGGGGGAUUUGGCCCCGGGAUCAUGGCCCCAGAGCCACACUUUCAGCCCUGGGCUCUCCGCAGGGCAGACGUGACAGGAAAGAGAAGCCCAGGCAGGUGCAUCUCGACCACCAGCUCCCCAGUCAUCCAGCUAAGCUCACUCUCCUUUACGAAACCGACCACGAUUCCUCGUCAACCAAAUGAAGGCAUCAGCCACUUUAAAGAGUCAACAAAUGAAUAAGUGAAUGAGCCUUCGCUCUGUCUCAAACUGUCCCAUAAGUAGCUGCCCCUUAAGUCUGACCCCCUGAGUACCCGCCUGCCACACGCUGCCUGUUGCUGUCUUGCUCUCCGUGAGGCUGUGCCCACUGCCCUGUUCCCAGAGUCCAGACUGUAUGGCAGAUGGGUGCCCUUAGAACUGACGAGGUCGGAACCCCACGCUUUGACCAUCCCUGGCCCCUACUGUGUGCCAGCCCCGGGGACACUUUGCAUCUGUGAUCUCGUUAGUUGCUCAACAACCCUGCACAGUAUGUCACUGUCCCUACUUUAGUUUAUCUUUUUCACUGUCCCCAUUUUACAGAGGAGGACAUAAGUGCUUGCCCAGAGCCUGUCAGCUGGUGACAGAGAGAGGCCCAGGCUCCAGGACCCAGAUGGCACGUGUGGUGGCUGGUGGCAGGGCAGAUGGCAGCAACCGGGGCCAGACAGCUCGUCUCCCUUUGUGCUUCGAGCUCAGGACAGCUCUCCGGGCUCGGGCCUCCCCGUGGGGUGGGACCUGCUUCUUUGCACCUUUCUCUUGCGAAACACCUUGUCUUUUGGGGCAAAUAUUUUUGUCACUGUUGACGAAGCUAGUCCAAGGUCAGGGGGAGGCCCUGCCUGGGUGAUGUGUGCAGGAUCAAGGUCCAAGGCUGUCUAAAGUUCGCUUGGCAAAUGGUCAUGAAACACCCACUCUGUGCAACAUGGGGACGGGCGCCGGGCGGCUGACGGUGGGAGCCUCGGCUGUAUGUCACGCACCGAAGCGCCAUGCUGGGUGUCAUCGCAGGCCAUGGAACUCAAUUGUCGCCCAAUCCUAGGGUGAACAAAGGGUAUUGCAGCUCAGAGCAGGUGGGGCAGAAUUAACUUCUGCGGGGUCAGGAAAGCUUUCACGGAAGAAGUGACACAGGGCUGGUCUUGAAGAAUAGUAGGACGCAACAGACAGCUGAUUUGGGAACAGGUAUGAGACUUUCAGGCAGAGGGGACAGCCUGAGAAGAGCGUGGUGUUGAGUGAGCUGCGGUGUGUACGGGAGAUGACGGAGCCCUCUGUGUGGACCAGUGCAGGGCGCGUGAUGGAGAGCUGGGAGGAGUAGGUGACCCUGCUCGUGGUCCAGCGACAGGGACCCUGAACACGAGGCCAGUGUUUUGUCUGUUCUUGCUCAUCCCAAUGUCAGGUAGUUAUGCCAUCCACGCCACACCCUGAGUGUCCCCUGGGCCCCUUCCUGUCCCUCACUCUCCCAUCAGCAGAGCAGUGGCACCUCCGCUCAGCCCUCCAGGGGGCGCUCGCACCCACCCACACCUGCUGCUCCCACGCCCCGCCCUCCCCUUCCUCAGAUGGGCCUCAGGCACCCCAUGUGGUGAAAUGAGGUAACCGGUCUAUAGAGCCCACACGUGGAGGCGCGACUGUCCCCCUCAGGACCCUCUUAGCCGCCGUGUUAGUUUCCUAGGCCUGCCGUAACAAAGCGCCACAGGGCUGGGUAGCCUAAAAGCAGAAAGGUAUCAUCUCAGGAUCGGGGAGGCUGCGAGUCCGAGAUCGAGAGACGCGGACCAGAAGGCACGGCCUUGGUCUCCAGGGAAACAGCCCCCAGGAACCGCCACGCCCAGCUACACUUGCGUAUUUGGCUGUCACCCGUGGGUUGCCAGCAGGGCGCCAGGCACGGAGCUGGUACAAGGGUGUAAAGUUCUUUUACAGAGAAAAUAACGUCCAGAGAAUAUCAAGAAACCAAAGCUUCCCAGGCCCAACUCCUCGGCUCCCUGACGUCUGUCUACCUUCCACCAUAGAGAUAAACAGCCAAGCACGCUCGUCUGAGAAAUCCUUAGUCUCCUCUGCUGGAAGCAGCCCCAGACACAGGCCGAUGGGAAAAUGCAGACCAAGAAGGCCACGGCCCCCCACCUCUACCUAAAACCCCAAAUAAAAACCCCCACCCGUUUCUUAACGGGGAGCAAGCAACUUUGGGGGCACUGGCCCUUGCUUUGCUCCCCUUGCCUGGCCAA
Equus quagga is the source of this 2829-nucleotide long non-coding RNA. RefSeq lists it as uncharacterized. Lineage: Eukaryota; Metazoa; Chordata; Mammalia; Perissodactyla; Equidae. The record is from RefSeq and is a predicted model, not a curated record. The transcript is spliced from 3 exons.